UGAUACGCGAGGAACCUUACCUGGGCUCGAACGUAAGAUGACUGUAGGUGAAAGCUUACAUCUCUUCGGAGCAUUUUACGAGGUGCUGCAUGGUUGUCGUCAGCUCGUGCCGUGAGGUGUCGGGUUAAGUCCCAUAACGAGCGCAACCCCUACCUUUAGUUGCCAUCAGGUUAAGCUGGGGACUCUAAAGGAACUGCCUACGCAAGUAGUGAGGAAGGCGGGGAUGACGUCAAAUCAGCACGGCCCUUACGUCCAGGGCUACACACGUGCUACAAUGGCCGAUACAGAGGGCAGCUACCUGGUGACAGGAUGCAAAUCUCCAAAGUCGGUCUCAGUUCGGAUCGGAGUCUGCAACCCGACUCCGUGAAGUUGGAUUCGCUAGUAAUCGCGCAUCAGCCAUGGCGCGGUGAAUACGUUCCCGGGCCUU
Molecule: ribosomal RNA, 427 nt
Filed under: uncultured Sphingobacteriales bacterium
Lineage: Bacteria; Pseudomonadati; Bacteroidota; Sphingobacteriia; Sphingobacteriales
Description: bacterial SSU rRNA
Rfam family: Bacterial small subunit ribosomal RNA
Source: RNAcentral